UAAUAAGAAUGGCAGUCAGAUGAGAGUGGAGGCAUGUUUUGCACUGCCCAGAGUUGCUAAAGAACUGGGGAAAUCCUCUGAGUUUUGUUCUUUUUUUAUCAGGAAGUCCACAUUUUCUAGUGUUUUGUUUGUGCCCCUACUGUUACUGGAUCAGAUACCCUUUAAAGGGCAUUGGACAAAUCCAUGGAGAUAUCUAGUUAUCUUGGCUGGAGGACAACUGCCCGGGUAGCAGAAAGUCACACGACGCCUGCCAUCGCUGUGGAGGAAGAUUAUCUUGAACUCCUUGCCUUUUGAACACUGGAAUUUCAUCUGUGCCUUGUGUGCUUAGACCACCAGCUUUCCUCCAACCUUCAAACGGUAAGUAACUGCUGUACCAGCUUUCUAGUUUGCCCCUUUGAUUGUGUUGGCAAGCACUGUGCUGUUUCUGGACUGUGCUCCUGGUUCUUAACUCCAGACUUGCAUUAAAGGCUCUGAAUCCUGGUUCAGGCCCUUAAAGAACUGUGCUAUUUAUGAGAAGGCUUCAUUCUGCUGCAACUUGCUUUCUAGUUUUAAGCAU
RNAcentral lists this long non-coding RNA (556 nucleotides) under Salvator merianae (Argentine black and white tegu). RNAcentral's name for it is "lncRNA (ENSSMRG00000008010.1)". Lineage: Eukaryota; Metazoa; Chordata; Lepidosauria; Squamata; Teiidae. The record is from RNAcentral.